GCCGUCGUGGCGCAAUGGCAGCGCAUCACCUUCCUACAAUGACAGUGGUGGCAGGUGGGGGUUGCGGGUUCGACCCCCGUCGACGGUA
Russula vinacea is the source of this 88-nucleotide non-coding RNA. NCBI's taxonomy places the organism in Eukaryota, Fungi, Basidiomycota, Agaricomycetes, Russulales, Russulaceae. The record is from the annotation of a GenBank genome assembly.